UGGCACCUCGAUGUCGGCUCAUCACAUCCUGGGGCUGAAGCCGGUCCCAAGGGUAUGGCUGUUCGCCAUUUAAAGUGGUACGCGAGCUGGGUUUAGAACGUCGUGAGACAGUUCGGUCCCUAUCUGCCGUGGGCGUUGGAAGAUUGAAGGGGGCUGCUCCUAGUACGAGAGGACCGGAGUGGACGAACCUCUGGUGUUCGGGUUGUGUCGCCAGACGCAUUGCCCGGUAGCUAAGUUCGGAAUCGAUAACCGCUGAAAGCAUCUAAGCGGGAAGCGAGCCCUGAGAUGAGUCUUCCCUGAU
This 301-nucleotide ribosomal RNA is filed under the name Curtobacterium sp. MCBA15_001. RNAcentral's name for it is "bacterial LSU rRNA". It matches the Rfam family "Bacterial large subunit ribosomal RNA", at positions 2519 to 2819 of the family's 2925-position model. Lineage: Bacteria; Bacillati; Actinomycetota; Actinomycetes; Micrococcales; Microbacteriaceae. The record is from RNAcentral.